This 375-nucleotide ribosomal RNA is filed under the name Salmonella enterica. RNAcentral's name for it is "partial 16S ribosomal RNA". It matches the Rfam family "Bacterial small subunit ribosomal RNA", at positions 600 to 974 of the family's 1533-position model. RNAcentral also lists the same sequence under 1 other name. The record is from RNAcentral. Lineage: Bacteria; Pseudomonadati; Pseudomonadota; Gammaproteobacteria; Enterobacterales; Enterobacteriaceae.
UCCCCGGGCUCAACCUGGGAACUGCAUUCGAAACUGGCAGGCUUGAGUCUUGUAGAGGGGGGUAGAAUUCCAGGUGUAGCGGUGAAAUGCGUAGAGAUCUGGAGGAAUACCGGUGGCGAAGGCGGCCCCCUGGACAAAGACUGACGCUCAGGUGCGAAAGCGUGGGGAGCAAACAGGAUUAGAUACCCUGGUAGUCCACGCCGUAAACGAUGUCUACUUGGAGGUUGUGCCCUUGAGGCGUGGCUUCCGGAGCUAACGCGUUAAGUAGACCGCCUGGGGAGUACGGCCGCAAGGUUAAAACUCAAAUGAAUUGACGGGGGCCCGCACAAGCGGUGGAGCAUGUGGUUUAAUUCGAUGCAACGCGAAGAACCUUAC